AGAGUUUGAUCAUGGCUCAGGAUGAACGCUAGCUACAGGCUUAACACAUGCAAGUCGAGGGGAAACGAUAUUGGAAGCUUGUUUCCGAUAGGCGUCGACCGGCGCACGGGUGAGUAACGCGUAUCCAACCUGCCCAUCACUUGGGGAUAACCUUGCGAAAGUAAGACUAAUACCCAAUGACGUCUCUAGAAGACAUCUGAAGGAGAUUAAAGAUUUAUCGGUGAUGGAUGGGGAUGCGUCAGAUUAGCUUGUUGGCGGGGUAACGGCCCACCAAGGCUACGAUCAGUAGGGGUUCUGAGAGGAAGGUCCCCCACAUUGGAACUGAGACACGGUCCAAACUCCUACGGGAGGCAGCAGUGAGAAAUAUUGGUCAAUGGACGAGAGUCUGAACCAGCCAAGUAGCGUGCAGGAUGACGGCCCUAUGGGUUGUAAACUGCUUUUAUAAGGGAAUAAAGUGAGCCUCGUGAGGCUUUUUGCAUGUACCUUAUGAAUAAGGACCGGCUAAUUCCGUGCCAGCAGCCGCGGUAAUACGGAAGGUCCGGGCGUUAUCCGGAUUUAUUGGGUUUAAAGGGAGCGUAGGCCGGAGAUUAAGCGUGUUGUGAAAUGUAGACGCUCAACGUCUGCACUGCAGCGCGAACUGGUUUCCUUGAGUACGCACAAAGUGGGCGGAAUUCGUGGUGUAGCGGUGAAAUGCUUAGAUAUCACGAAGAACUCCGAUUGCGAAGGCAGCUCACUGGAGCGCAACUGACGCUGAAGCUCGAAAGUGCGGGUAUCGAACAGGAUUAGAUACCCUGGUAGUCCGCACGGUAAACGAUGGAUGCCCGCUGUUGGUCUGAAUAGGUCAGCGGCCAAGCGAAAGCAUUAAGCAUCCCACCUGGGGAGUACGCCGGCAACGGUGAAACUCAAAGGAAUCGACGGGGGCCCGCACAAGCGGAGGAACAUGUGGUUUAAUUCGAUGAUACGCGAGGAACCUUACCCGGGCUCGAACGGCACCUGGAUCGCCCAGAGAUGGGCGAGUCUUCGGACAGGUGUCGAGGUGCUGCAUGGUUGUCGUCAGCUCGUGCCGUGAGGUGUCGGCUCAAGUGCCAUAACGAGCGCAACCCCUGCCGCCAGUUGCCAUCAGGUGAUACUGGGCACUCUGGCGGGACUGCCACCGCAAGGUGUGAGGAGGGGGGGGAUGACGUCAAAUCAGCACGGCCCUUACGUCCGGGGCGACACACGUGUUACAAUGGCGGCCAUAGAGGGAAGCUACCCCGCGAGGGGAUGCGGAUCUCGAAAAGCCGUCCCAGUUCGGACUGGAGUCUGCAACCCGACUCCACGAAGUUGGAUUCACUAGUAAUCGCGCAUCAGCCAUGGCGCGGUGAAUACGUUCCCGGGCCUUGUACACACCGCCCGUCAAGCCAUGGAAGCCGCGGGCGCCUGAAGUCCGUGACCGUAAGGAGCGGCCUAGGGCGAAAGUGGUAACUGGGGCUAAGUCGUAACAAGGUA
This 1488-nucleotide ribosomal RNA is filed under the name metagenome. Its description in RNAcentral is "bacterial SSU rRNA". It matches the Rfam family "Bacterial small subunit ribosomal RNA". The record is from RNAcentral.